GGUUCCAUAGAGUAGUGGUUAAUACGUCUGCUUUACACACAGAAGGUCUUGGGUUAAAGCCCCAGCGGAGUCA
This 73-nucleotide transfer RNA is filed under the name Pteropus alecto (black flying fox). It matches the Rfam family "tRNA". Rfam says of the family: Transfer RNA (tRNA) molecules are approximately 80 nucleotides in length. Their secondary structure includes four short double-helical elements and three loops (D, anti-codon, and T loops). The record is from Rfam by way of RNAcentral. Lineage: Eukaryota; Metazoa; Chordata; Mammalia; Chiroptera; Pteropodidae.